UGCAAGUCGAACGGCAGCGCGGGGCAACCUGGCGGCGAGUGGCGAACGGGUGAGUAAUAUAUCGGAACGUACCCUGGAGUGGGGGAUAACGUAGCGAAAGUUACGCUAAUACCGCAUACGAUCUAAGGAUGAAAGUGGGGGAUGCGCAAGCACCUCAUGCUCCUGGAGCGGCCGAUAUCUGAUUAGCUAGUUGGUGGGGUAAAGGCCUACCAAGGCAUCGAUCAGUAGCUGGUCUGAGAGGACGACCAGCCACACUGGAACUGAGACACGGUCCAGACUCCUACGGGAGGCAGCAGUGGGGAAUUUUGGACAAUGGGCGAAAGCCUGAUCCAGCAAUGCCGCGUGAGUGAAGAAGGCCUUCGGGUUGUAAAGCUCUUUUGUCAGGGAAGAAACGGUGGAGGCUAAUAUCCUCUGCUAAUGACGGUACCUGAAGAAUAAGCACCGGCUAACUACGUGCCAGCAGCCGCGGUAAUACGUAGGGUGCAAGCGUUAAUCGGAAUUACUGGGCGUAAAGCGUGCGCAGGCGGUUUUGUAAGUCUGUCGUGAAAUCCCCGGGCUCAACCUGGGAAUUGCGAUGGAGACUGCAAGGCUAGAAUCUGGCAGAGGGGGGUAGAAUUCCACGUGUAGCAGUGAAAUGCGUAGAGAUGUGGAGGAACACCGAUGGCGAAGGCAGCCCCCUGGGUCAAGAUUGACGCUCAUGCACGAAAGCGUGGGGA
This 716-nucleotide ribosomal RNA is filed under the name uncultured soil bacterium. RNAcentral's name for it is "bacterial SSU rRNA". It matches the Rfam family "Bacterial small subunit ribosomal RNA", at positions 56 to 767 of the family's 1533-position model. The record is from RNAcentral.